This 673-nucleotide unclassified non-coding RNA is filed under the name Homalodisca vitripennis (glassy-winged sharpshooter). RNAcentral describes it as "uncharacterized LOC124352712, transcript variant X1". The record is from RNAcentral. Lineage: Eukaryota; Metazoa; Arthropoda; Insecta; Hemiptera; Cicadellidae.
ACAUUAACCCUUCAUUUCAAAACGUGUUCAGUUGAGAUCGCACCUUUUCAACACAUGAAUUGACGUAAAUUUAGCUGUGCUUUCCCCCGUAUAUAACAGGCAUUUUGCUAUAAAAAUUCCAUUGUGCACAUGGAUAAAGGAGCGGAAAACAUCAAACUGGAUGUUAUGGCGUUGGAGGGCUGUGAAUACAGCGCAAUGUGUCACUCUAUUCAUUCUGUCAGUCGUAAAUCUGCAGAUGACACCGGUGCCACCGCCUUCCGGCCAAACUGCGAAGCUCACCCCUGUCACGGCCUGCUGUGUACACCGUCAGGACCUGACAUUUCAGGUAUAACGAGAAGGCCAUAAAACAACUCCGCAUUUUAUCUACCCCACUGACCUCAGUUCUGGCAUUGCUUCAUUUACUGUUGCCAAAAGUCAUCAUCUUAAUCUCCCUUGACUAGGAUUCUCUCCGGCACUUCUCCUGGAGCAGCUUGUUUGGACCAUAUACUUUUGUCAUGCUAUUCAACCCGCAAGCUACAAGCCUACCACCACUUUGAUGUUUUAAAUAUUUAUAUAUCAUUCACAAUGUAUUAUUAUUACCCCUACAUACCAGCCGCGUUAUCUGUAUCUAAAUUUAAUCAGGAACAUAGCACUAACUAUUGCACAGGAACUAUUUGGCACUAAAUUUUAAUAU